RNAcentral lists this ribosomal RNA (386 nucleotides) under uncultured bacterium. Its description in RNAcentral is "partial 16S ribosomal RNA". It matches the Rfam family "Bacterial small subunit ribosomal RNA", at positions 338 to 721 of the family's 1533-position model. The record is from RNAcentral.
ACUACGGGUGGCAGCAGUGAGGAAUAUUGGUCAAUGGACGCAAGUCUGAACCAGCCAUGCCGCGUGCAGGAAGACGGCUCUAUGAGUUGUAAACUGCUUUUGUACGAGGGUAAACGCAGAUACGCGUAUCUGUCUGAAAGUAUCGUACGAAUAAGGAUCGGCUAACUCCGUGCCAGCAGCCGCGGUAAUACGGAGGAUUCAAGCGUUAUCCGGAUUUAUUGGGUUUAAAGGGUGCGUAGGCGGUCGGAUAAGGUAGAGGUGAAAUCCCGAGGCUCAACUUCGGAAUUGCCUCUGAUACGGUGCGGAUAGAGAGUAGUUGCGGUAGGCGGAAUGUAUGGUGUAGGGGUGAAAUGCGUAGAGAUUAUACAGAACACCGAUUGCGAAGG